RNAcentral lists this long non-coding RNA (251 nucleotides) under Phaseolus vulgaris (common bean). RNAcentral's name for it is "long non-coding RNA (PVUL_LNC000595)". Lineage: Eukaryota; Viridiplantae; Streptophyta; Magnoliopsida; Fabales; Fabaceae. The record is from RNAcentral.
GUUACCAUAUGUCGGAAAGUCAUUGAUGGUGCAAAAUAACAUGACAUGAAGCUUGAAAGUUUCAUUAACAAAUCCGUCAAAUACUUCAACACCCUGGUCCCACAUUAACUUAAAAUCUUCAAUUAGAGGACUUAGAUAAACAUCAAUAUCAUUCCCUGGCUGUUUCAGACCGGAUAUCAUCAUAGACAACAUCAUGUAUUUUCGCUUCAUGCACAAUCCAGGAGGUAAGUUGUAAAUAACUAGUAAAACAG